Molecule: long non-coding RNA, 4014 nt
Filed under: Homo sapiens (human)
Lineage: Eukaryota; Metazoa; Chordata; Mammalia; Primates; Hominidae
Description: HSALNT0029782
Source: RNAcentral
GUUUGUUACAGCUUGAGCUGAGCUUUCACUCGCCAUCUACCACUGCUGUUUGCCGCCAUCACAGACCCGCUGCUGACUUUCACCCCUCCGGAUCUGGCAGGGUGUCUGCUGUGCUCCUGAUCCAGUGAGGCGCCCAUUGCCACCCCGGAUUGGGCUAAAGACUUGCCAUUGUUCCUGCACGGCUAAGUGCCCGGGUUCAUCCUAAUCGAGCUGAACACUAGUUGCUGGGUUCCACGGUUAUCUUCCGUGACCCACAGCGUCUAAGAGAGCUAUAACACUGCAUGGCCCAGAUUCCAUUCCUUGGAAUCCGUGAGGCCAAACCCCAGGUCAGAGAACAAGAGGCUUGCUGCCAUCUUGAGAGCGGCUGCCACCAUCUUGGGAGCUCUAAGAACAAGCCCCCACCCCAACCGGUAACAUUUUGGCGACCAUGAAGGGACCUCCAAAGCAUUUGUCUCUUCCAGAAUCGAAGCUGUAAAACUACAAAUGGUUCUUCAAAUGGAGCCACAAUGCAGUCCACAACUAAGAUCUAGUGCAGACCCCUGGACUGGCCUGCUAGCCCAUGCUCCAAUGUUGAUGACAUCGAAGGCAUGCCUCCUGAGGAAAUCUCAACUGCACGACCCCUACUAUGCCCCAAUUCAGCAAAAAGCAGUUAAAGCGGUUGUCGGCCAACCUCCCCAACAGCACUUGGGUUUUACUGUUGAGAGGGGGGACUGAGAGACAGGACUACCUGGAUUUCCUAGGCCGACUAAGAAUCCCUAAGCCUAGCUGGGAAGGUGACCACAUCCACCUUUAAACACAGGGCUUGCAACUUAGCUCACACUUGACCAGUCAGGUAGUAAAGAGAGCUCACUAAAAUGCUAAUUAGGCUAAAACAGAAGGUAAGGAAAUAGCCAAUUAUCUAUCACCUGAGAGCAUGGGGGAGGGACAAUGAUCGGGAUAUAAACCCAGGCAUUCAAGCCAUUGGGUCCCCUCCCAUUUUAUGGGAGCUCUGUUUUCACUCUAUUAAAUCUUGCAACUGCAAAAAAAAAAUUUUGAGUCAUCUUUUUUGCUAAAUGACUUAUGGUAACCUGGAAUUCUAUUUCAUUAUAUCAAGUGUUUUCACCUUUAACAUAUUUCAUAGGCUUCCCAAAAUCAAAUUUCAGCUUUGAAACUGUCUUUUCUGACUCCUGAAUUUUGAAUGCUACAGAGGGCUCCUGAAGCAACUAACAGAGAGGUAAACAGGAUUAUUUUACAUAUUUAGUUACACGGGAUUGUCAGAAUAAAAAUAAUGUUUAAUCUUCUUCAGGUUAUAUUUUAGUGAAUAAUAGUAAUAUAUGUUCCAAAAUUUUAUGGGAUUUCUAAAAUUCUAAUGUCUAAGUAUAUGCUAUCUAAUCAUAAUUAAGGUUACUAUGUUAAGUUAUUGUAAACCACAGAAAUAACUGAAUUUGUCAGUCAUGUUUUUUUUUGUCUUGUUUUGAUCCUUUUCAAAAGAUGGUUUAAAAUCAGCUAUAGAACUUUGACAGGUGCUCUUAAAUUCAGGUUCCUGAUGUCUUUGGAGAUUGUGACAUUGGAAUAAAGGAAAAAUGUCCAAGACUCAUGAAGAGAUGAAAUGUUCAUGAGUAUCAAGCAGAAAAGAGUUAACUGAAUGAACUGAACUAACAGAGAACUGAAGUAAUCUUUUUUUAACUUUUUGCCUAAAACAUUGCUUAACCUUGUUUUGUUUUUGAGAAUCAAGGAAACUUUUCUUCUGAGCUAGCUACAGUAUUUAACAAUUGGGUAAAGUAUACUCCUGUGAACAAAAUUUGGAGCAUAUUUGUUUCUCUCUGCCUGGUUUCUCUAGAAUUUGGAAACUAUUUGUGAGUAUUCUUAACUUACGGUGAUAUAAUUGCUUGCAUAAGUGCAAGAAGAAUCCAUUUUCUCUUGCAACAGGAUGCAAUUGGAAAGACUGGUUGUUUUACUAAGGCUUCAACUAGAAGGAUGUGCUUCCCUUUAAGGAACCAAGCUUUACUAGCAGAGCCAAUAAAAGCCCCUUGGGAAAACUGGCCUCAUAUCUUGUCUACACAGUUCCUGUACAGGGUUGCUAACCUGUGGUGAGUAAAGAAUGUAACUUUCUAACAGGCUUAGGAGCCCCAAGUUAUCUUGGGACCCCAACAAGAGAGGAAUUUGGAAACUCAAAGGUAUUUGAGGAUACAAACCCAUGUCUGGGCUUGGCUUUAAAAAGUCUUGUCUGAGAUUCCUUAUGGAACAGAGUUCCAUCAGAGCCCAUUUAAAAAGCCUAUAUGAAAAUAAUUAUUUUUGCUGCACUUUAUGCAAAUAAUCAGGCCAAGUAUAAGACUAAAGUUUAUUUUGCAAGCAAAUCAGUCCUAUCAUGAUUUGUUUUUAACAAAAAUGAGGACUGUAGAGAGAAAAUUAUGUUUCAAAACUUAUACUUUUGUCAUUAAAUUCUAGUCACAUCAGUUGUUUUUAAGUUUUCAUGUACAUUUUAGACUAACCCUGCUUAUUCAUGUGAACCAACCAGUGAUCUCCAGCUGCAGCUCAGAAGGAACAGAAGGAAUGGGUAAUGUAAAAAUCUGAAUCAAAUAUUCUAGUUCUGGGCAAUUAUCUUGCAAAUCUUGCCCGGUGAUAGGAGUAAAUGGGGUGCCCAUAACAGGAGGUUUCUUUUUUGGGAAAAUAAGACCAAAUCAGCUAACUAACCAAAGCCAAUUCCCAUGCACGCAAAUCUUAGCAGGCGUAACUAUUAAUAUAGCAUGUCAACAGCCUGGGGAUUUUUGAGCUGUCCUUAUUCGCUUGUUCCAUUUUAAUCCAUGUCUUCUAAUAACCCUGUUUGUCUCAUCUUGCUUUCAGGCCAUCAAACUCCAAUGUUCAUGCAACCAGAGCCUUGGAUGAUGGCUCCUUUUUACCAGGGACUUUUAGAUAGGCCUCUGAAGGAUAUCUGACUGCUGUUUUCCCAAAAUAACAGCCCCUGUCAGCAUGAAGUAGUUAAAAUUGGUCAUCGUUCUUAUCCUAAUGGAAGUUAGAUGUACCUCUUCAGAGGAGGGAAUGAUAGAGGUAGGAAGCAGAAAAAUGCUUAGGCAGAUAGGGAUGAGUCCCUAGUGAAACCCCACCUCCAAGUCAAAGACAGUUUAAAGCCUGAAAGUCAUGCCACAAGUUAAAUCCACAGACUGGAUUGAGAACCUAUCUUCCUAUUUGGUGCACUUUCCUCUGAUUGAGCCCUGCCUUUCAUCUAUUUUACAUAUACCUACCCUUCCAUAAUUUUUUUUUACACUCUUGUGACCACCUUUGAGUGGUUCCUUAGUUUUAACAUUUUUUACAUACUCACAAAUCAGUCAGCACGCCCUCCCCAUUCUGUGCCUAUGAAAACCCUGAACUCAGCCACACUUUGAAACUGUCCAUCUUUGGGCAGGGGUGGGGACUGCCUGCCUUCAGGCAGGAGAGAGAGACAACCUGAACUUCCCCUCUCCUCUCCACUGAGAGCUGUUUCAUCACUCAAUAAAAUUCUCUGUCCUCAUCACCCUUCAAUUGUCAGUGUGACCUCAUUCUUCUUGGAUGUUGGACGAGAAUUGGAGACCACUGAAUGCAGGGGCUGACUGCGCUGUCACAGCAGCCAUGGGAGCCGUGGGCCAUAGUGCAAGCCAAACAUGGCCCAGUGGGCCGAGUAGACAGGGUGCCCCCUGCUGCAAGCCUGGCAAAAGGGCUGAGAAAAAUCCUGCAUCACUAUUAUUUGGACUCUGACAUGCUAUUUAAAAAGAAAUUAAUUCAGAAAUACAGCCCAGCAUGGCAAUGUAAUAUUAGAAAUAAAAUCUAAAUUAUUUUCUUGCCUAUGGAGUUAUGUUAAAAUUCAUUUAUUAAGUGAAAUCUGGAGGCUAUUUUGUUUAAGUGUCAUCUCUGUGACAAGUCAUCCUCUGUUGAUAAAAGAAUAAAAAGCUUUUGGAGUAAGUGUUCAUGCAGAACACCCCUGCAUGGAUUCCUGGAAUGGUUAGGGCUACUUCUUCUUUGCAUUCCAUCAAUAAGCUAAAUGCAGUGAAGAUAAAAAGU